RNAcentral lists this ribosomal RNA (253 nucleotides) under uncultured bacterium. Its description in RNAcentral is "partial 16S ribosomal RNA". It matches the Rfam family "Bacterial small subunit ribosomal RNA", at positions 524 to 776 of the family's 1533-position model. The record is from RNAcentral.
UACGUAGGGGGCAAGCGUUGUCCGGAAUCAUUGGGCGUAAAGCGCGUGUAGGCGGCCUUGUAAGUCCGUUCUGAAAGCCCGGGGCUCAACCCCGGGAGGCGGAUGGAUACUGCAAGGCUCGAGUCCGGAAGAGGCGAGUGGAAUUCCAGGUGUAGCGGUGAAAUGCGUAGAUAUCUGGAGGAACACCGGUGGCGAAGGCGGCAUCCUGGACCGGCAUUGACGCUGAGGCGCGAAAGCCAGGGGAGCAAACGGG